RNAcentral lists this ribosomal RNA (579 nucleotides) under uncultured bacterium. RNAcentral's name for it is "bacterial SSU rRNA". It matches the Rfam family "Bacterial small subunit ribosomal RNA", at positions 337 to 916 of the family's 1533-position model. The record is from RNAcentral.
UCCUACGGGAGGCAGCAGUGAGGAAUCUUGCGCAAUGGGCGAAAGCCUGACGCAGCCACGCCGCGUGCCGGAUGAAGGCCCUAUGGGUUGUAAACGGCUUUUAAGCAGGAAGAACGACCGGAUUUCGAUCUGGUGUGACGGUACUGCUUGAAUAAGCACCGGCUAACUCCGUGCCAGCAGCCGCGGUAAUACGGAGGGUGCAAGCGUUGUCCGGAAUCAUUGGGUGUAAAGGGUGCGUAGGCGGGCGUCUAAGUCUGGGGUGAAAUCUUGCCGCUUAACGGUAAAAUGGCCUUGGAUACUGGGCGUCUUGAGUGUAGAAGAGGUAAGUGGAAUUCGUAGUGUAGCGGUGAAAUGCAUAGAUAUUACGAAGAACAUCAGUGGCGAAGGCGGCUUACUGGCCUACAACUGACGCUGAGGCACGAAAGCGUGGGGAGCGAACAGGAUUAGAUACCCUGGUAGUCCACGCUGUAAACGAUGCAUACUAGGUGUUGGCCUUUCGGGGCCAGUGCUGCAGUUAACGCAUUAAGUAUGCCACCUGGGGAGUACGUCGGCAACGAUGAAACUCAAAUGAAUUGACGG